RNAcentral lists this long non-coding RNA (3168 nucleotides) under Fragaria vesca (wild strawberry). Its description in RNAcentral is "long non-coding RNA (FVES_LNC003841)". Lineage: Eukaryota; Viridiplantae; Streptophyta; Magnoliopsida; Rosales; Rosaceae. The record is from RNAcentral.
UUUUGGAUAAAAUAAUAUUAAUAACACAUGUUUAAUAACAAUAGCUAAUAACCCAAAAUAAAUCAGUAAAUUAAAUCUUUACCAGCAAAAAUACAAAACAGACAAGAAUAAGGAAAACCAUUUUUCUAAAGUAAUUUAUUUAAAACUAUGUCGUCAUAGCCAAGGGGUCGCCUUAACCCGCCUUAGGCCGCCUUGACUCUUCUCGACCCUGCCAGGCCCACCUAGGGCAGCAAAAGGGGCCCCAUGACCCACCUAGGGCCGCCACAGGGCUGCCUUUACACGCCUUGACUCUCCUAGGCCCGUCUAAGGCCACCUUAACUCGUCUAGGGACGCCAAGAGGCCGCCUUGACCUUCCUAGGGCCGCCAAGGGGCCACCAUGACACGCCUAGGGCCGCAAAGGGGACGUCAUGACCCAUCGAGGGACUGCCUUUACACGCCUAGGGUUGUUUUGACCUCCCUUGGCCCACCAUGACCCGCCUAUGGCCGCCAAAGGGCUGCCUAGGGCCGCCAUGGGGCCACCUUGACCCGUAUUGGAACGCCUUGGCCGUCUUGACACGCCUUAGGCCGCCGUGAUCCGCCUUGACCCGCCUUGGGCCGCCUCGACCCGCCUUGAACUGCCUUGGGCCGCCUUUACCCUCCUAGACUCGCCUAGGCCCGCCUUAACUCUCCUAGACCCGCCUAGGCCCAUCAAAGGGCUGCCUUUACACACCUUAAUCCUCUUAGCCCGCCUAGGGCCACCUUGGCCCGUCAAGGGGCUGCCUUUACACGCCUUAACCCGUCUUGGCCCGCCUUAGGCCGCCUUGACCAUCCUCAGCCUUUAUAGGCCCACCUAAGGCAGCUAAUGGGAGCCAUGACCCACCUAGAGCCGCCAAUGGGCUGCCUUUACUCGCCUAUGACCUCUAAUGGGACGUCUUGACUCGCCAAGGGGCUGCCUUUACACGCCUAAGUCAGUUUUGACCUCCCUGGGCCCGCCAUGACCCACCUAGGGCCGCUAUGAGGCUACCUUGACCCGUCUAGGACCGCCNNNNNNNNNNNNNNNNNNNNNNNNNNNNNNNNNNNNNNNNNNNNNNNNNNNNNNNNNNNNNNNNNNNNNNNNNNNNNNNNNNGAGCCACCAAGGGGCUGCCUUUACACGCCUUGACCCGUCUAGGGCCGCCAAGGGGCCGCCUUGACACGCCUAGGGCUGCCAAGGGGACGUCUUGACCCGCCAAGGGGCUGCCUUUACACACCUAGGGCUAUUUUGACCUCUCUAGUGCCCGCGAUGACCCGCCUAGGGCUGCCUAUGUUCGCCAUGGGGCCACCUUGACCUGCAUUGGCCCAUCUUGGGCCGUUUUGACCCGCAUUGACCCUCCUUGGCUCUUCUAGGCCCACCUAGGGCAGUCAAGCGGGCGCCUUAACCCGCCUUAGACCGCCUUGGGCCGCCUUGACCCUCCUAGACCCGCCUAAGGCCACCAAGAAGCUGCCAUUACUCGCCAAGGGGUCGCCAUGACCCUCUUUGGCCCGUCUAGGGCCUCCUUAACCCGCCUUAGAUCGCCUUGACCCUGGGACGCCUUGACCCUGGGACGCCUUGGGCCGCCUUGACUCUCAUCGGCCCUACUAGGCCCACCUAGGGCAGGAAAGGGGGCGCUAUGACCCACCUAGGGCCGCCAAGGGGUGGCCUUGACCCGUUUAGGGGCUGUCUUGACCCUCCUAGACCCGCCUAGGGCCGCCUUGAUCCUCCUAGACUUGCCUAGGGCCACCAAGAAGUCUCCAUGUCUCGCCAAGGGGUUGCCAUUACACUCCUAGGCCCGUCUAGGGUCACCAAGGGGCCGUCUUAACCCGCCUUAGGCCGCCUUGACCCAUCUUGGCCCGCCUCGGCCCCAUGGGCCGCCUUGACCCUUGUCGGUUCUGCUAAGCCCACCUAGGGCAGCCAAGGGGCGCCAUGACCCACCUAGGACCGCCAAGGGGCUACCUUUACACGGCAAAGGCCACCAAGGAGCCGUCUUGACCCGCUAAGGGGCUAUCUUUACACGCCUAGGGCCGCUUUGACCUCCCUAAGCUAUUGAAAUUGCUGUUUUAAUUGGAAUUGAGUGACUUUCCAAGAUUUCGUUCUUUCAAUUCUUUUCAUAUUGACACCGGGAACUUUAGUUUUAAAAGAAAAUGAGGUAUUGCCCCUCAUUUCAAAUUUCACUAAAUUCGAGCCAAAAUCAUUUGCUAUAGCACACGAGUUUCCAGCCAGUUUCACUUUUUUUAGGACUACGGCUUUUUUCGUUCGGGUGUGCUUAUAGACACCUCCUAACACAUAUUGAACCAUUCUAGCUUCAAAAAUCCAUGUCUUUUUAUAAUUUACUCGUGAUCGGGCCUAAAUAACUCACGUCUGCCGUGUUUUGUAAAGCUGUUGAAAUUGUUGUUUUAAUUGGUAUUGAGUGACUUUUUAAGAUUUUUUUCUCUUCAAUUCUUCUCAUAAUGACAUCGGAAACCUUAGUUUCAAAAGAAAAUGAGGUAUUGUCCCUCGUUUCAAGUUUUACGAGUUUCUGCCCAGUUUCACUUUUUUUAGGCCUUCAGCUUUUUCCAUUCGGGUGUGCUUACAGACACCUUCUAACAUAUAGUGAACCAUUCUAGCUUCAAAAAUACAUGUUUUUUAUCAAUUUACUCGCGAUCGGGCCUAAACAAACUUACGCGUGCCGUGUGUUGUAAAGCUGUUGAAAUUGUUGUUUUAAUUGGUAUUGAGUGACUUUUUAAGAUUAUGUUCUCUUCAAUUCUUCUCAUAUUGACAUCGGAAACCUUAGUUUCAAAAGAAAAUGAGGUAUUAUCCCUCAUUUCAAGUUUCACCCAUUUCAAGCCAAAAGGUUUUGCUAUAGCACACGAGUUUCUGCCCAGUUUUACAUUUUCUGGGCUUCCAUCUGUUUCUAUUGGGGUGUGCUUACAGACACCUGCUAACAUAUAGUGAACCAUUCUAGCUUUAAAAAUCCGUGUCUUUUAUCAAUUUAAUCACGAUCGAGCCUAAAUAACAUUGUACGGUUGAGAUGUACAUUGUAGCUUCAAAAAUCCGUGUCUUUUAUAGGAUGAAACUUUGUACGAAUGAUCUACACAGUGUGUUCUAAACAUUGUACGGUUGAGAUGUGGAAAUGCGACCUGAAAGUGAGCGAAAUAUGGAGGUCCACACUUUAAUUUCAAAACGGGACACUGCU